CUUUCUCUACCCGACACCCUUUUCUUCCCCUCUUCAUCGCCGUUCUUCUCCCGAUUCGUCCCCACCAAGCACCUGAUUGCCGGCAUCGACGCCCCCUGAGGUCCGAUCCGGUUGGUGCCUUCUUCUCUAGGCCGUAGACACUCGGAGCUUGCUGAAAAUCGAGUGAGGAGCCCCGGAUCAUCCCGACACCGACGAAUCACCGAUCCAUUGUCGUCGACAUUCGAGGGCCCACCUGACGCCGUCGUCGCCUUCCUUUUCUUGGCCACGGACAUUUGUCAUUAGCCGGAACUCGAGCUCCCUUUUUGUGUCAUUACCCUAGAUCGCCGACCACGCUGACAUCGUCGCAUCUCCUCGCGCCAACGGUCGACGCCACUGCUCCUCCACACGAGGCCAGAUCAGCGAUGUUGUAGUCGUCGCUAUUGCGAGGGUGAGCUAUCGGACUUCCUCUCGAUCUUGCCGAUGCCAUCGCCCAGCACCUGAGGUGCAUCUCGUGCCCUAGCCUCGAUCCUUCUUUAGUGGAGCUCUCCCUCUUCUUGAUAUUUCACCACCAUUUCUUGUAACUUGUCGGUUGGAUCUUUCUGCAAGCAUAUGUCAACACUGACGGUUUCUUGUAUCUGCACCCGGAUGUCUUCACCAAGUUUCUGUAGAUCUAUAGAUGGGAAUAAGGACUCUGAUUCGAGACGAGAGUCUCGACGUCGGAUUGGUUUGAUACGAUCUUCAUUUUGAGGAGACAUGGUGUGUUUGAUCUGAUGACCCUUAUGUCAGGAUACGAGGCUCUGGUGUGUACAGCUUCUUCUGUUGUACAGUUGUUCAUUUCCUGUUAUUGUUCAGGAGUCUGUACUCCAUGAUUAUUUCUGGUAGAUGAUUAAGUAGUUGCUUAGAGGUUUUCAUUCUAAGAUUGGUGUUCAUUCUAUUUUUGUAUUAUGCUUCUGGUACUUUGUAAUUGGUCUUGUUAUUAUGUUAUGUUAUAUUGUUUGUGGUUUUGAGUCUUGUAGUCAUGUUUAUUUAUUUUGGGUUUUGUAUUGUGGUAUAAGUCAUGUCGGCAUGCAGUCAGUGUAUUAUCUUGUGUGGUUUAUGUUUGUACCAGCCGUGUAGGAUGAGUAUUAUAUUUUUGUUGUCUUCCGCUGUGUUUU
Molecule: long non-coding RNA, 1133 nt
Organism: Zingiber officinale
Lineage: Eukaryota; Viridiplantae; Streptophyta; Magnoliopsida; Zingiberales; Zingiberaceae
Exons: 4
Source: RefSeq, a predicted model, not a curated record